CCCUGGGAGAAGAUUCUGAAAGGAAAAAAGGAUCUUGGGAGUUUUUACUGGCAUUAACUGUCACUCCUGAUCUAGCUUUCUACUGAGCCGGUAAGGAGGAUCUUUGCUCUGGCAUCCCCUGGGAAAAUAUAAUCUUCUGGAAAGAUUAGGAUAUUCCUGGGUUGGAGAACUGCCUUGGAGGAGACUUGCCUUUCCCUGAAGUACAGAGACCAACCUGUCAGACAUCCAUGGGUCAGAGAUUCACUUGGUUUAGGUGGCCCAGUGGAAAGAGAGUCAGGCCUGGAGAUGUUCCUGGGUUCAAAUGUGACCCAAGACACUUUCUAGCUGUGUGAACUUGGGCUGGCUGAAAUUAUGGAAAAAGACAACCACAAGAUGCGCCUAUGAACUCUAACUCCUAUCACUAGUCAGGACCUCCAACUGUACUGCUCUCUGGUUUCAGUCAGAUCUCCCAAAAAACGGAAUUGCUAGCCUGUAAUUCUGAACUAAGAGAAUGGCUGCUCUUUCAAGUUGCAAAUAUGAUACUCAGAUUAAUCACAUAGACAUUAUUUAUCACUGAAUUCAAAGAUCAUCAGCUGAAUGAAUCAUCAUUGGUACUUGAAAACAAAUAUAUAGGAAUAUAUACAGAUAUACAUAUAUGGAUAUGUAUAUAAUGAAUUGUAUGAGGAACUGUUUUAUCAGCAUGUUUGAUAUACCAUUAAGACAAUGAGGAACACAUUUCUAAUCCCACUCCCCUUUUUUUGUUCCUAAAACAAAGAAGAGAUAUCAAUUAUUUUUUAGAAAAGGGCUCAAAAACUACAUUUUUCAUGGAAAUUCUAAUGACUCUUAUAAUUCUUUAUGGCUGUAAACCAGUAUAUGCAAGGAAUAAGGUCAUUUUUGAGCUCCAUUUUUCUAUAAUAGGAGUUCAUUCACUUUCAUGUAUCAAAGAUAAUUGUAUUAAGGGACACUAAAACCUUUUGUUAUACCUAUAUCCACCAGGGACAAUUAUAGUUUGUUGUGGGUUUUUCCCCCAACCAACAUACAUUUGUUAAGUACCUACAAUGUGUUGGCACUAUGAUCAGUAUCAAAAUAUACAGAUACAGAAACUAAACAGUCCUAUUUCAAAAAAAUUACCCUGUUUUAGAGAAGUGACACAUAUACCAAAUCACUGUUGUGAUUUCACUUAGUAGAGAGUUAUAAGCAGGUAUUCCUCAUUUUGAGGAAAUCAAAUGAUCCUUCCAAAAUUUGUAAUUUAGAAGCCAACUCUGAUAUUUGUAUGUUGCAUUGGUACCAUUUGUGUUAAUCUUCCUUAUUGAGUCUAUAUGUUCUACUAUAACAACAACAUUGUAAAGAAAAACAAUUCUGAAAGUCUCAAGAACUCUAAUUAAUGCCAUGAGCAACCACGAUUCUAAAAGACUGACAAUCAAACAUGCUAGUCAAAGACUAAUAAAUAUAAAGAAUGAGACAUAUUUUUGGUCAUAGCUAAUUUAAAUUUUUUUUUUUUAGCUUCAUGAAGCACAUAUGUUACAUGGCUUUUAUUUCCUUUUUGUUUCUUUUUUUUCCAGUUGGGGUAGAGAUGGGAGGCAGAUUAAAUAUUUUUGUAAAGAGAAAAAAAAUGAAAUUAAAAAAAUUUGUGUACUCUGCCACACCUCUCAGUGAUGAUGAUGAUGUUGAUGAUGAUGAAGACAAGAAUAAGGAUAACAUCAUGACAAUAAUUACAACACAAUUUGCCAAGAAAAAAAAAAACCUAAGGAAAUAAUUAUUUGUAGUAUUCUCUUCCUGCCCUCCCCUUCACCUACCUGCAAAAAUAGAUUUAGGGAUCAGCAGAUAUACUAUAGGAAGGAGAAGAUAUAGAAAGUGAAGCAACAAAAAUCUGGAGAAAAUGGAAAACUUGGGUGUUAAAUCUAUCUUAUCAUUAAAAAUAAAUCCCAAUACUGGGAUACAGUUGAUUCUCAGCUGAGUGGCAAACAGAGCCAGUAUGUACUUGGAAACUAUGCAUUUUUUUCUUAAUAAUUUUAACAACAUUGGAUUAAACAGAAAACAUCUCAGGACUAUGAUGGUGGUGAUAGUUAAUUUCCCCUCUUUUUUUCUUUUGCAGAAAAAUUUAUUUCUAGCAAUCUAGCAAGACUACACUUUUUGGUGGUCAAGGAACAAGGCUUCCAUUCAAAAUAAAUUACUUCAAUUGCCUUAUAAAUAAAACAUGGAUAAAUGUCUUGGUAAAAUAAAUAAAUUAAAGAGACAUUUGUAUUUGA
Molecule: non-coding RNA, 2228 nt
Organism: Monodelphis domestica (gray short-tailed opossum)
Lineage: Eukaryota; Metazoa; Chordata; Mammalia; Didelphimorphia; Didelphidae
Source: RefSeq, a predicted model, not a curated record